Molecule: ribosomal RNA, 497 nt
Filed under: uncultured bacterium
Lineage: Bacteria
Description: partial 16S ribosomal RNA
Rfam family: Bacterial small subunit ribosomal RNA
Source: RNAcentral
GAUGAACGCUGGCGGCGUGCCUAAUACAUGCAAGUCGAGCGAACAGACGAGGAGCUUGCUCCUCUGACGUUAGCGGCGGACGGGUGAGUAACACGUGGAUAACCUACCUAUAAGACUGGGAUAACUUCGGGAAACCGGAGCUAAUACCGGAUAAUAUAUUGAACCGCAUGGUUCAAUAGUGAAAGACGGUUUUGCUGUCACUUAUAGAUGGAUCCGCGCCGCAUUAGCUAGUUGGUAAGGUAACGGCUUACCAAGGCAACGAUGCGUAGCCGACCUGAGAGGGUGAUCGGCCACACUGGAACUGAGACACGGUCCAGACUCCUACGGGAGGCAGCAGUAGGGAAUCUUGCGCAAUGGGCGAAAGCCUGACGGAGCAACGCCGCGUGAGUGAAGAAGGUCUUCGGGUCGUAAAACCCUUUUAUUAGGGAAGAACAAAUGUGGAAGUAACUAUGCACGUCUUGACGGUACCUAAUCAGAAAGCCACGGCUAACUACGUG